RNAcentral lists this transfer RNA (75 nucleotides) under Allosphingorhabdus lutea. RNAcentral's name for it is "Sphingopyxis sp. LPB0140 tRNA-Gln". It matches the Rfam family "tRNA". From Rfam's summary of the family: Transfer RNA (tRNA) molecules are approximately 80 nucleotides in length. Their secondary structure includes four short double-helical elements and three loops (D, anti-codon, and T loops). Further hydrogen bonds mediate the characteristic L-shaped molecular structure. tRNAs have two regions of fundamental functional importance: the anti-codon, which is responsible for specific mRNA codon recognition, and the 3' end, to which the tRNAs corresponding amino acid is attached (by aminoacyl-tRNA synthetases). tRNAs cope with the degeneracy of the genetic code in two manners: having more than one tRNA (with a specific anti-codon) for a particular amino acid; and 'wobble' base-pairing, i.e. permitting non-standard base-pairing at the 3rd anti-codon position. Lineage: Bacteria; Pseudomonadati; Pseudomonadota; Alphaproteobacteria; Sphingomonadales; Sphingorhabdaceae. The record is from RNAcentral.
UGGGGUGUAGCCAAGCGGUAAGGCAUCGGUUUUUGAUACCGACAUGCGCAGGUUCGAUCCCUGCCACCCCAGCCA